Molecule: ribosomal RNA, 688 nt
Filed under: Triticum aestivum (bread wheat)
Lineage: Eukaryota; Viridiplantae; Streptophyta; Magnoliopsida; Poales; Poaceae
Description: partial small subunit ribosomal RNA
Source: RNAcentral
CGCGCGCCGCUCCUCCGCCUUCUGCCUCCUCCGCUCCAGCCGCCCGGACCCGCCGCAGCUGCAGGGCCUAGGGUCCAGCUGCCGCUGGUACAGGGGAGCCACCGCGGCGGUCGGCCCGCUGUCGACCCCUGUGAACCUGGGCGUGAGCAUCGUGCCGGAGAGGAAGGUGUUCGUGGUGGAGCGCUUAGGCAUGUACCACAAGUCUCUCUCCUCGGGGAUUCACUUCCUCGUGCCCGGCAUCGACCGCAUCGCCUACGUCCACUCGCUCGAGGAGGAGGCCAUCCAAAUCCCGGACAACCCUGCCAUCACAAAGGAUGGCACCUUGAUCCAGAUCGGAGGAGUGCUCCAUGUCAAGAUUGCCGAUCCCUUCCUUGCUUCCUACGCCAUAGAGAACCCCAUCUAUGCAGUCACCCAUCUCGCGGAGUUUGUUGCAGGCAGUGAAAUUUGCAAGAUUACCCUUGACAAGACUUUUAAGGAAAGAGACACGCUCAACCACAACAUCAUGAAGUCAAUCAAUUACGCAUCAUGCGAGUGGGGUGUCAAAUGCCUCAAAUACAACAUACGCAUUACUCCAACAGAGGGAGCUAAGAAAGCCAUGGAGAUGCAGCUUGAAGCAGAAUCUAUGAUGGAAAGGGUGAAGAAAGCAAAGGGUGAAGGUGAAGCGAUUCUUGCCAGGUUUGAAGCGACA